UACGAAGGGGGCUAGCGUUGUUCGGAAUUACUGGGCGUAAAGCGCGCGCAGGCGGUCUUCCAAGUCAGUGGUGAAAGCCCGGAGCUCAACUCCGGAACUGCCAUUGAAACUGUUAGACUUGAGGAUGAGAGAGGUGAGUGGAAUUCCCAGUGUAGAGGUGAAAUUCGUAGAUAUUGGGAAGAACACCGGUGGCGAAGGCGGCUCACUGGCUCAUUACUGACGCUCAGGCGCGAAAGCCAGGGGAGCGAACGGG
RNAcentral lists this ribosomal RNA (253 nucleotides) under uncultured bacterium. RNAcentral describes it as "partial 16S ribosomal RNA". It matches the Rfam family "Bacterial small subunit ribosomal RNA", at positions 524 to 776 of the family's 1533-position model. The record is from RNAcentral.